RNAcentral lists this ribosomal RNA (253 nucleotides) under uncultured bacterium. RNAcentral's name for it is "partial 16S ribosomal RNA". It matches the Rfam family "Bacterial small subunit ribosomal RNA", at positions 524 to 776 of the family's 1533-position model. The record is from RNAcentral.
UACGUAGGGUGCGAGCGUUGUCCGGAAUUAUUGGGUGUAAAGGGCUCGUAGGCGGUCUGUCGCGUCGGUAGUGAAAACUCAGGGCUUAACCCUGAGCCUGCUUCCGAUACGGGCAGACUAGAGGUAGGCAGGGGAGAGCGGAACUCCUGGUGUAGCGGUGGAAUGCGCAGAUAUCAGGAGGAACACCGAUGGCGAAGGCAGGUCUCUGGGCAUUAACUGACGCUGAGGAGCGAAAGCAUGGGGAGCGAACAGG